GGUGAACCUGNGGAAGGAUCAUUA
RNAcentral lists this ribosomal RNA (24 nucleotides) under Agaricus sp. 1331. RNAcentral describes it as "partial 18S ribosomal RNA". Lineage: Eukaryota; Fungi; Basidiomycota; Agaricomycetes; Agaricales; Agaricaceae. The record is from RNAcentral.